UGUAGAUGUGUGUAGAGUUAGUGAGGGGUGUGUAGAGUUAGUGAAGAGUUUGUAAAGGGUGUGUAUCGGAUGGUCGUGGUCUGAGGAUAUCAGUAUAUCUGCAGUGCUCUUUGCUCCGUCGCUCCAGAACCGCAGGUGAGGAGCUCGUGCUGACGGUGAUGAGGAGAUUCUUCAGCUCUGGUAGAGAUGAAGAUUACAGCCAGAUCCAGUACCUCACCGCCAAGUGUACCCGCCUCACCCACGAGAACGCAGUGUUGGAGAGAGAGUGUUUGUCCUCUCGGGAGAGAGAGAGGGCGCUGCAGGUGGAGCUGGAGUCUCUAUCGGUGCAGCUCUGUCAGAAAGAGCACACCUGCCAAGACCUGCGCCUCCACCACGACCAGCUCCUCGACACACUCAAACAACAGCGGGAGCGGGUCCAGUUCCUGGAGCAGAGGGUGGUCUCUGUGGCGGAGGAGGGGGCGAGGGAGGCGGCGCUGUUGAGUUUUCAGUUGGAGCAGGUGGGCUGUGAACUGCAGCAGCUCCAGAGCUCAGAGUUACAGCUGCAGGGCCUGGUGGACGAGCUGCACCAGGAGGCCGAUGAUGAAGUCAAAAAGGCAGAGGACCUGCAGACGGAGCUCCGUGAGGUGGCCCAACUCAGUGCUAAGCAGAUAGAAGACAUGAAGAGGAAGCUGGCCAGAAAGUCUCAGGAAGUGGAGGAGCUGCAGGAGGCUAAUCAUGCUCUGCAGGAGGAGCUGAGCGAGCAGCACAGCGCCCACCGGAGGACGGUAGAGGAACUGCAGCAGGAGAACUCGGGCAGCGUGCAGAAACUCAGAGAGAUGGCGGAGCAGUUCGAGUGGCUCUGUGAUCAACAGAGAAACUGGAUGUGCUGCAUCAAACGUUUUAAGGACUGUCUGUCUGAUGAGAAGGAGGCCCUGGUUCUGCAGGUGAAAAGGUUACAGGAGGAAUUGGCGGAUCUGAAGAAGAACUCUGACUCUGAGGACACAAGUCCAGAAGACCCGGCCACUCACUGCAACAGGUGGGAUGUGGAGGUGAUGGGGGAUCUGCAGGUGGAGGCUGACAGAUGGAGAACAAGAUACUCUGACCUCUUCAGCAAACUCACUACACAACCGGGUUCUCAGGGGAAGUGGAAUGAAGAUGGACAUUUAAAGCCUCCAUGAAAUCAUCCCUCUCUCUCUCUCUCUCUCUCUCUCUCUCUCUCUCUCUCUGUANUUUUGCACCAGGAGUAAAGCAGCAUAAAGUUAUCCAAAAGCAGUGUGUAAGACUGGUGGAGGAGAACAUGAUGCCAAGAUGCAUGAAAAAAUUAUUUCUGAACUCUUAAAACUUUAUGAAUAUGAACUUGUUGUUUUCUUUGCAUUAUUUGAGGUCUGAAAGCUCU
This 1375-nucleotide long non-coding RNA is filed under the name Astyanax mexicanus (Mexican tetra). Its description in RNAcentral is "lncRNA (ENSAMXG00005015997.1)". Lineage: Eukaryota; Metazoa; Chordata; Actinopteri; Characiformes; Acestrorhamphidae. The record is from RNAcentral.